AUGAAUAGUCUCCAUUUGUUUAGCACCAUUAAGGCAUUCUCUCUCUCUCUCUCUCUCUCUCUCUCUCUCUCUCUCUCUCUCUCUCUCUCUCUCUCUCUCUCUCUCUCUCUCUCUCAUUAAGAAUUAGAGAGUUACAAGGUAGACACUAAUGAAAUUAAAGUCUUGAGUUAAGCUUAGAGGGUGUGAGGUUUGGAUGAUUUUUUUUCUUUUAAAUUAGAACUACUAAUGUUCUUUAAAAUUACACAUAAUCGAAGUGAGUAAAUUAAUCCAAUUUUUUAACAGUUUCCUCAAAUUUCUAAUAGUGUUCUUUUAAUUGAAAAUCUAGAAGAGAUUUCUUUUCUGUAGAAGAAAUUGUUGCUUUAUAAGAGACAUUUAUUUUCUGUAGAAGAAAUUGAUAAUCUUUCGCAAUAUCAAAUUUUAAAUUUUGUGUUUAUAACAAUGAUUAUAACUAUAACACCAUAAUAUAAAAAUCAUACCUUAUUGUAGCUUUAUUCAUUCCAAAUUUCAUUUUGUUCUCACUAAAAUAUUUAUUGAAAUAUAGGAUUGAAAACAUUAGAUGGUUCAUCUAUUUAUAUAACAAUUGUAAAGCUGUUUGUACAAUUCAUUUGUAUUUAGCUACUCCUAAAAUGUAGAAUGGAUGAGAGGUGGAGCACAUGAUCAGCUGAUCCAUUAUUAUGGUAACAACAAGACAAAAAGUUGAAGAGAGAUACAAGAUAUGCAAAGAGAAUAAUGGAUUCUAUAAAAGAAGAAGAAUAACCAGUCAAACACCAUCUUUGUUCUCAUGUUAUCUUUGAAAAUUUUGAGUUGAUUCAUAGUAUUUUAGGUUUUUAACUAUUUCUUACUAGACUUCCAUGUAAUUUCAUAUUUUCAUUACUGAACAUAGUAAAGACUAUGAGUUUUCAGAA
This is a non-coding RNA of Lactuca sativa (garden lettuce), 905 nucleotides long. NCBI's taxonomy places the organism in Eukaryota, Viridiplantae, Streptophyta, Magnoliopsida, Asterales, Asteraceae. The record is from RefSeq and is a predicted model, not a curated record.